RNAcentral lists this unclassified non-coding RNA (350 nucleotides) under soil metagenome. Its description in RNAcentral is "partial contains 5.8S ribosomal RNA, internal transcribed spacer 2, and large subunit ribosomal RNA". The stretch from base 1 to 120 matches the Rfam family "5.8S ribosomal RNA", at positions 35 to 154 of the family's 154-position model. The record is from RNAcentral.
GAUGAAGAACGCAGCGAACUGCGAUAAGUAAUGUGAAUUGCAGAAUUCAGUGAAUCAUCGAGUCUUUGAACGCACAUUGCGCCCCCUGGCAUUCCGGGGGGCAUGCCUGUCCGAGCGUCAUUGCUGUCCUUCAAGCCCGGCUUGUGCGUUGGGUCGUCGUCCCCCCCGGGGGACGGGCCCGAAAGGCAGCGGCGGCACCGCGUCCGGUCCUCGAGCGUAUGGGGCUUUGUCACCCGCUCGAUUAGGGCCGGCCGGGCGCCAGCCGGCGUCUCCAACCUUCUAUUUUACCAGGUUGACCUCGGAUCAGGUAGGGAUACCCGCUGAACUUAAGCAUAUCAAUAAGCGGAGGA